CCUACGGGAGGCAGCAGUGAGGAAUAUUGGUCAAUGGACUCACGUCUGAACCAGCCCUGCCGCGUGCAGGAAGACGGCUCUAUGAGUUGUAAACUUCUUUUGUACGAGGGUAAAUCCCGAUACGUGUAUCUGGUUGAAAGUAUCCUGCGAAUAAGGAUCGGCUAACUCCGUGCCAACAGCCGCGGGAAUACGGAGGAAUCAAACGUUUUCCGGAUUUAUUGGGUUUAAAGGGUUCGUAGGCGGGAAGAUAAGUUAGAGGUGAAAUCCCGGGGCUCAACUCCGGCACUGGCUCUGAUACUGGCGGGCUAGAGUUUACUUGCGGUAGGCGGAAUGCAUGGUGUAGCGGUGAAAUGCAUAGAGAUCAUACAGAACACCGAUUGCGAAGGCAGCUUACCAAACUACGACUGACGUUGAGGCACGAAAGCGUGGGGAGCAAACAGGAUUAGAUACCCGAGUAGUC
RNAcentral lists this ribosomal RNA (460 nucleotides) under uncultured bacterium. RNAcentral's name for it is "partial 16S ribosomal RNA". It matches the Rfam family "Bacterial small subunit ribosomal RNA", at positions 338 to 795 of the family's 1533-position model. The record is from RNAcentral.